CCUACGGGUGGCAGCAGUGAGGAAUAUUGGGCAAUGGACGAGAGCCUGAACCAGCCAAGUAGCGUGAAGGAUGACUGCCCUAUGGGUUGUAAACUUCUUUUAUAUGGGAAUAAAACAGGGUAUGCAUACCCUCUUGUAUGUACCAUAUGAAUAAGGAUCGGCUAACUCCGUUCCAGCCGCCGCGGUAAUACGGAGGGUCCGAGCGUUAUCCGGAAUUAUUGGGUUUAAAGGGAGCGUAGGUGGGUUGUUAAGUCAGUUGUGAAAGUUUGCGGCGCAACCGUAAAAUUGCAGUUGAAACUGGCAGUCUUGAGUGCAGUAGAGGAGGGCGGAAUUCGUGGUGUAGCGGUGAAAUGCUUAGAUAUCACGAAGAACUCCGAUUGCGAAGGCAGCUCACUGGACUGCAACUGACACUGAUGCGCGAAAGUGUGGGUAUCAAACAGGAUUAGAUACCCGAGUAGUC
Molecule: ribosomal RNA, 460 nt
Filed under: uncultured bacterium
Lineage: Bacteria
Description: partial 16S ribosomal RNA
Rfam family: Bacterial small subunit ribosomal RNA
Source: RNAcentral